GACGAACGCUGGCGGCGUGCUUAACACAUGCAAGUCGAACGGUGAAGCGCCUUCAUUUUUGGUGGGUGUGGAUGAGUGGCGAACGGGUGAGUAACACGUGAGUAACCUGCCCCCUUCUUCUGGAUAACCGCAUGAAAGUGUGGCUAAUACGGGAUAUUCUGGGUCUGUCGCAUGAUGGGUCUGGGAAAGAUAUUGUUUCGGUGGGGGAUGGGCUCGCGGCCUAUCAGCUUGUUGGUGGGGUGAUGGCCUACCAAGGCGGUGACGGGUAGCCGGCCUGAGAGGGUGGACGGUCACACUGGGACUGAGACACGGCCAAGACUCCUACGGGAGGCAGCAGUGAGGAAUAGUGCACAAUGGGCGCAAGCCUGAUGCAGCGACGCCGCGGGAGGGAUGGAGGCCUUCGUGUUGUGAACCUCUUUCGCCAGUGAAGCAGGCCUGCCUCGUUUGUGGGUGGGUUGACGGUAGCUGGAUAAGAAGCGCCGGCUAACUACGUG
This 494-nucleotide ribosomal RNA is filed under the name uncultured bacterium. RNAcentral's name for it is "partial 16S ribosomal RNA". It matches the Rfam family "Bacterial small subunit ribosomal RNA", at positions 28 to 507 of the family's 1533-position model. The record is from RNAcentral.